AUGGUGCCAAAUCUCUCAAUUUCCCCAAAUUCCCCCAACGUCACCCCAAAUCGCCUCGGAAUGCCGCCAAAAAUCCCGCAAAUCCCCCUAAAGUCUCUCCAAAUCCCCUCAAAAUACCCCCGGUGCCCAAAUCCCUCACCCGGUGCCCCCCGGUUCCCCUCCCGGUGCCCAAAUCUUUUACCUGGUUUUCCUCCGGUGCCCAAAUCCCCCCUGCCCAGCGCUGUCAGGUUUCCCCCGGUGCCCCCCGGUGUCCCCCGGUGCCCAAAUCCCCCUUCCCCAGCUCUGUCAGGUUUCCCCCGGUGCCCCCCGAUGUCCCCGGUUCUCCUCCUCGGUGCCCCCCGCUGUCCCCCGGUGUCCCCCGGUGUCCCCAGUUCCCCUCCCCGGUGCCCUCCGGUGUCCCCCGGUGUCCCCCGGUGUCCCCCGUUCCCUUUCCCGGUGACCCCCGGUGCCCAAAUUCCCCCUCCCCAGCCCUGUCAGGUUUCCCCCNNNNNNNNNNGGUGCCCAAAUUCCCCCUCCCCAGCCCUGUCAGGUUUCCCCCGGUGCCCCUCGGUGUCCCCGGUGCCUCCCGGUGCCCCCCGGUGUCCCCGGUUCUCCUCCCCGGUGCCCCCCCGGUGUCCCCGGUUCCCUCCCCGGUGCCCCCCGGUGCCCGACCCCGCACCCGCUGCUCCCCGGGCGGGCUCCGAGCCCCGGAGCUGCUGCAGAGCCUCCGCCGAGCCCGGGGGGGACGGGAGGGACCGGGGGGCUCCGGGGGGACAGAGGCGGCANNNNNNNNNNUGUCCCCAGAAGGGUUUUGGGGGACACAGGACCCCGGGGAUUUGGGGACCCGGGACCCCGGGGUGUCCUCGGGAUGGCGGGAGGCGGAUCCCGGGCAGGGGCGGCUGUCGCAUGUCGCCAUUGGGGGAUGAGGAUGUCGCGAUUGUCGCCAGGCCCGGCUGUAGGGAGCGGCAGCGGCUGUCGCGAGAUGUCCCCAACGGCCCCCGGCGCGAGCGGCGCUGUCCCCAACGUCCCCAACAGCCGCGGGGGGAUGGGGAUCGGGGGGAGCCUGGAAAGGACGGGGUGAGACCCCAAAAUCGCCACAAAAAUCCCAUCAAAAAGCCCCCAAAUCCACUCCAAAAUCCACUCCAAAACCAUAUAAAAAUCCCCCCAAACCCAUGGAAAUCCCUACCCCAAAACUCCCUCCACAAUUCACUGCAAAUUCCCACAAUUCAUGAAUUAUUUUUAUUUCGUUCACAUAGAAAAUAUUUUCUUACAUUUUUCAAGCUUUCAAUAUUUUCAUUUACAUGGACAAGUUGA
This 1293-nucleotide long non-coding RNA is filed under the name Chloebia gouldiae (Gouldian finch). RNAcentral's name for it is "Erythrura gouldiae (Gouldian finch) lncRNA (ENSEGOG00005016564.1)". The record is from RNAcentral. Lineage: Eukaryota; Metazoa; Chordata; Aves; Passeriformes; Passeridae.